UUUUAAAAAAAAACUACGGAUCUAGAUAUCCUUUUCUCUCUAGUGUCCGAAUCCGGCCUAAAAAAUUUCAAAAUCCGAACGUACACGCCUAGAUCUACAAAUACAUAUCCGUAACAAACUUUUUGACACCUUUUUUACACUACAUAUGCGCGCGAAAACGAAGAAAAAGAGGAGAGAAAUGCGUUACCUCUGUCGUGAAACGGAGAAAAAUCUUCGGAAAAACUUCGAAUCCUCCUCUUCUCUUUCGCGCGCGCGCUAUACCCUCCGUUGGUGUUGUUUUUGCUCGAAAAUCCGGUACGUUUUGGUGUUGAUGUGGUGAUUCGCGGUGGUUUUGAGUGAAUCCGGUUCGGAUUUGUUGAUUUUGUGGUGGUUGGAGCUGAUUCUGAGCAGAUCCGGUUUAGAUCUGUUGAUUUUGGUGAUGAGGUGUUCUUGGUGUUCUUCCUCUUUUUCUGAGUUUUUUUCUGUUUUGAUUCUGUUAUGGAUGAGAGAGAGAAAAAGAUUCUGUUUGAGAGUGAUUGUGAUUGAUUCUGAUUUUUCUGACUGAUUGUGAUGGAUCUGACACAUUUACUAUUUAUAGCCUGCCAUGUGUAUCUGAGAACCAAUGAAAAAAUGACAUCUGGACCGUUUUGGACUUAUGGACUAAUCUGCAAAAAAGUUAAUAUGAGGACUAAUCUGCAAAAUAAGAAAAAGGACUAAAAAUGCAAUUUUAAAAAGUAUUGGACUAAAAUGCAAGUUAAAAUAAAAUUGGAUAAAAAUUGGUAAUUUGAAAAAAACGUAAAGUGAAACAAAAAAUAAAAUCAACAAAAGGACUAAAACGAACCAAUUACCGACAUGAGGUAUUUUAAAAUACCUCCCUGUCGAAAUUUUGACAGGAAAAGACCAAAAUGCCCCUAGGGACUAAACUGACCCAAACUGACUCAAAUGUAAUUUUGAGAUGAUUUUAAAAA
RNAcentral lists this long non-coding RNA (947 nucleotides) under Medicago truncatula (barrel medic). RNAcentral describes it as "long non-coding RNA (MTRU_LNC000486)". The record is from RNAcentral. Lineage: Eukaryota; Viridiplantae; Streptophyta; Magnoliopsida; Fabales; Fabaceae.